ACAGGCCGGAACUGGAAGGAUUGACAGAUUGAGAGCUCUUUCUCGAUUCGGUGGGUGGUGGUGCAUGGCCGUUCUUAGUUGGUGGAGUGAUUUGUCUGGUUAAUUCCGAUAACGAACGAGACUCUGGCCUGCUAAAUAGUCCACGGGUCUCUUUUUAACGCGGGGCAGUUCUUCUUAUACUGACUGGCGGCGUCUAGCCGCUUCAGAUUGAGCAAUGACUGGUCUGUGAUGCCCAUGUGAUGCCCA
RNAcentral lists this ribosomal RNA (246 nucleotides) under Bryocamptus pygmaeus. RNAcentral's name for it is "partial small subunit ribosomal RNA". It matches the Rfam family "Eukaryotic small subunit ribosomal RNA", at positions 1222 to 1481 of the family's 1831-position model. The record is from RNAcentral. Lineage: Eukaryota; Metazoa; Arthropoda; Copepoda; Harpacticoida; Canthocamptidae.